AGAAGAUGAAGAGAGACAAGAUCAAAGAUGGAGGAAGCUCAGUGAGACAGACACACACAGAGAUGAAAGGCGCAGCGUCUUACCUGAACUCCGGCAGCUCGGUGUCAAACUGGACAUUGUCCUGAUAAACCACAGAGAGACGGCCGUCCAUCACCACCACCUUCAGCUACAGACACACCCAGAGAGACGGAACACACCAUGAGGUCCAUGACAUGGUCUAACUGGUCCUGGUGCAGACUCCAGGGCUGCAGGUCA
Molecule: long non-coding RNA, 255 nt
Organism: Lampris incognitus (smalleye Pacific opah)
Lineage: Eukaryota; Metazoa; Chordata; Actinopteri; Lampriformes; Lampridae
Exons: 3
Source: RefSeq, a predicted model, not a curated record